CAGCCGCCGCGGGAAUACGAAGGGGGCUAGCGUUGUUCGGAAUUACUGGGCGUAAAGGGCGCGUAGGCGGCCAUUCAAGUUAGAUGUGAAAGCCCUGGGCUCAACCUAGGAAUUGCAUUUGAUACUGUUUGGCUUGAGUUCGGGAGAGGUGAGUGGAAUUCCCAGUGUAGAGGUGAAAUUCGUAGAUAUUGGGAAGAACACCAGUGGCGAAGGCGGCUCACUGGACCGACACUGACGCUGAGGCGUGAAAGCGUGGGGAGCAAACAGGAUUAGAUACCCCAGUAGUCCCUGUCUCCUUAUA
This 301-nucleotide ribosomal RNA is filed under the name uncultured bacterium. RNAcentral describes it as "partial 16S ribosomal RNA". It matches the Rfam family "Bacterial small subunit ribosomal RNA", at positions 509 to 809 of the family's 1533-position model. The record is from RNAcentral.